Molecule: microRNA, 19 nt
Filed under: Dinoponera quadriceps
Lineage: Eukaryota; Metazoa; Arthropoda; Insecta; Hymenoptera; Formicidae
Description: dqu-miR-980-5p
Gene: dqu-miR-980-5p
Source: miRBase by way of RNAcentral
UCGUCAUCGGGCACUUUGC